UACUGAUCCACUACCACCCUGAAUGCGCUGGAUCUUGUCUGAUCUUGGAAGCUAAGUAGUGUCGGGCCUGGUUAUUACUUGGAUGGGAGAAC
RNAcentral lists this ribosomal RNA (92 nucleotides) under Mesocricetus auratus (golden hamster). The record is from RNAcentral. Lineage: Eukaryota; Metazoa; Chordata; Mammalia; Rodentia; Cricetidae.